RNAcentral lists this ribosomal RNA (492 nucleotides) under uncultured bacterium. RNAcentral's name for it is "partial 16S ribosomal RNA". It matches the Rfam family "Bacterial small subunit ribosomal RNA", at positions 29 to 507 of the family's 1533-position model. The record is from RNAcentral.
AGUGAACGCUGGCGGUAGGCCUAACACAUGCAAGUCGAACGGCAGCACAGUAGGAGCUUGCUCUUACGGGUGGCGAGUGGCGGACGGGUGAGGAAUACAUCGGAAUCUACUUUUUCGUGGGGGAUAACGUAGGGAAACUUACGCUAAUACCGCAUACGACCUACGGGUGAAAGCAGGGGAUCUUCGGACCUUGCGCGAUUGAAUGAGCCGAUGUCGGGUUAGCUAGUUGGCGGGGUAAAGGCCCACCAAGGCGACGAUCCGUAGCUGGUCUGAGAGGAUGAUCAGCCACACUGGAACUGAGACACGGUCCAGACUCCUACGGGAGGCAGCAGUGGGGAAUAUUGGACAAUGGGCGCAAGCCUGAUCCAGCCAUACCGCGUGGGUGAAGAAGGCCUUCGGGUUGUAAAGCCCUUUUGUUGGGAAAGAAAAGCAGCAGGUUAAUACCCCGCUGUUCUGACGGUACCCAAAGAAUAAGCACCGGCUAACUUCGUG